This 254-nucleotide ribosomal RNA is filed under the name uncultured bacterium. RNAcentral describes it as "partial 16S ribosomal RNA". It matches the Rfam family "Bacterial small subunit ribosomal RNA", at positions 524 to 776 of the family's 1533-position model. The record is from RNAcentral.
UACGAAGGGGGGCUAGCGUUGUUCGGAAUUACUGGGCGUAAAGCGCGCGCAGGCGGUCUUCCAAGUCAGUGGUGAAAGCCCGGAGCUCAACUCCGGAACUGCCAUUGAAACUGUUAGACUUGAGGAUGAGAGAGGUGAGUGGAAUUCCCAGUGUAGAGGUGAAAUUCGUAGAUAUUGGGAAGAACACCAGUGGCGAAGGCGGCUCACUGGCUCAUUUCUGACGCUCAGGCGCGACAGCGUGGGGAUCAAACAGG